This 252-nucleotide ribosomal RNA is filed under the name uncultured bacterium. RNAcentral's name for it is "partial 16S ribosomal RNA". It matches the Rfam family "Bacterial small subunit ribosomal RNA", at positions 8 to 252 of the family's 1533-position model. The record is from RNAcentral.
CAGAGUUAAUCCUGGCUCAGGAUGAACGCUAGCGGCAGGCCUAACACAUGCAAGUCGAGGGGCAUCGGGAUUGAAGCUUGCUUCAAUUGCCGGCGACCGGCGCACGGGUGCGUAACGCGUAUGUAACCUACCUAUAACAGGGGCAUAACACUGAGAAAUUGGUACUAAUUCCCCAUAAUAUUCGGAGAGGCAUCUCUCCGGGUUGAAAACUCCGGUGGUUAUAGAUGGACAUGCGUUGUAUUAGCUAGUUGG